GAUGAACGCUGGCGGCGUGCCUAAUACAUGCAAGUCGAGCGAACGGACGAGAAGCUUGCUUCUCUGAUGUUAGCGGCGGACGGGUGAGUAACACGUGGAUAACCUACCUAUAAGACUGGGAUAACUUCGGGAAACCGGAGCUAAUACCGGAUGAUAUUUUGAACCGCAUGGUUCAAAAGUGAAAGACGGUCUUGCUGUCACUUAUAGAUGGAUCCGCGCUGCAUUAGCUAGUUGGUAAGGUAACGGCUUACCAAGGCAACGAUGCAUAGCCGACCUGAGAGGGUGAUCGGCCACACUGGAACUGAGACACGGUCCAGACUCCUACGGGAGGCAGUAGUAGGGAAUCUUCCGCAAAGGGCGAAAGCCUGACGGAGCAACGCCGCGUGAGUGAUGAAGGUCUUCGGAUCGUAAAACUCUGUUAUUAGGGAAGAACAUAUGUGUAAGUAACUGUGCACAUCUUGACGGUACCUAAUCAGAAAGCCACGGCUAACUACGUG
RNAcentral lists this ribosomal RNA (497 nucleotides) under uncultured bacterium. RNAcentral's name for it is "partial 16S ribosomal RNA". It matches the Rfam family "Bacterial small subunit ribosomal RNA", at positions 28 to 507 of the family's 1533-position model. The record is from RNAcentral.